AUACGGAGGAUCCGAGCGUUAUCCGGAUUUAUUGGGUUUAAAGGGUGCGUAGGCGGUUUGCUAAGCGGGAGGUGAAAUGCCGGCGCUCAACGUCGGAAGUGCCUCCCGAACUGGUGGACUUGAAUGACUCUGCCGUGGGAGGAAUGUGUAGUGUAGCGGUGAAAUGCUUAGAGAUUACACAGAACACCGAUUGCGAAGGCAUCUCACGAAGGGUUGAUUGACGCUGAGGCACGAAAGCGUGGGGAUCAAACAGGAUUAGAUACCCUGGUAGUCCACGCAGUAAACGAUGAUGGCUAACCGCUGGGCUUAUCAGUCCAGUGGCCAAGCGAAAGCGAUAAGCCAUCCACCUGGGGAGUACGACCGCAAGGUUGAAACUCAAAGGAAUUGACGGGG
Molecule: ribosomal RNA, 393 nt
Filed under: uncultured bacterium
Lineage: Bacteria
Description: partial 16S ribosomal RNA
Rfam family: Bacterial small subunit ribosomal RNA
Source: RNAcentral